GGAGAGGUGGCAGAGUUGGUCGAAUGCGGCAGACUCGAAAUCUGUUAGGGGUCUUGCACUCCUCGUGGGUUCGAAUCCCACCCUCUCCG
Molecule: non-coding RNA, 89 nt
Organism: Planktothrix serta PCC 8927
Lineage: Bacteria; Bacillati; Cyanobacteriota; Cyanophyceae; Oscillatoriales; Microcoleaceae
Source: Rfam